UGAGGAUGGUAUUUAAUAUUA
This 21-nucleotide non-coding RNA is filed under the name Caenorhabditis elegans. Lineage: Eukaryota; Metazoa; Nematoda; Chromadorea; Rhabditida; Rhabditidae. The record is from RNAcentral.